UAGCUCAGUUGGUAGAGCGUGGUGUUUGCAACGCCAGGGUUGUGGGUUCGAUUCCCAC
Salmo salar (Atlantic salmon) is the source of this 58-nucleotide non-coding RNA. Lineage: Eukaryota; Metazoa; Chordata; Actinopteri; Salmoniformes; Salmonidae. The record is from Rfam.